UGGCCGAUGGUGUAACUGGCAACACGUCUGAUUUUGGUUCAGAAGAGUCCAGGUUCGAGCCUGGUCGGCCAA
RNAcentral lists this transfer RNA (72 nucleotides) under Flavobacteriales bacterium. RNAcentral describes it as "tRNA-Gln". It matches the Rfam family "tRNA". Rfam says of the family: Transfer RNA (tRNA) molecules are approximately 80 nucleotides in length. Their secondary structure includes four short double-helical elements and three loops (D, anti-codon, and T loops). The record is from RNAcentral. Lineage: Bacteria; Pseudomonadati; Bacteroidota; Flavobacteriia; Flavobacteriales.